UAUUAUUUACGGAAAGGAAUGAUGGGUGGACGAUGGAUAACUAACCUAUUUUUUACAUUUGAAAUCGUAUAUUUCAGAUUAUAAAACAUAGGAUUAGUCUGCCCAUUUUUCUAUAAACGUUUGAGCUAUAUGAUUAUAUGGCUUCAUUUAGGUACGUUAAAAUGCGACUAAUCCUUCCAUGUCUAUUGGGAGGAUUUUUUU
Molecule: small RNA, 201 nt
Rfam family: Bacillus sRNA ncr1575
Source: Rfam